Molecule: ribosomal RNA, 1292 nt
Filed under: metagenome
Description: bacterial SSU rRNA
Rfam family: Bacterial small subunit ribosomal RNA
Source: RNAcentral
AGAGUUUGAUCCUGGCUCAGAACGAACGCUGGCGGCGUGCUUAACACGUGCAAGUCGAACGGUCUUUUCGGAGAUAGUGGCGGACGGGUGAGUAAUACAUAGAUAACCUGCCUUUAAGAGGGGGACAACCAUUCGAAAGGGUGGCUAAUACCGCGUAAUAUCGUUGAUUGAAAUAUUGAUGAGGAAAGGAGCAAUCCGCUUUUAGAGGGGUCUAUGGUCGAUUAGUUAGUUGGUAAGGUAAUGGCUUACCAAGACGUUGAUCGAUAGCUGGUCUGAGAGGACGAUCAGCCACACUGGGACUGAGACACGGCCCAGACUUCUACGGAAGGCAGCAGUGGGAAUUUUCCGCAAUGGGCGCAAGCCUGACGGAGCGACGCCGCGUGGGUGAAGAAUUCUUUAGGGAUGUAAAGCCCUGUCAGUAGGGAAGAACUAAGUGACGGUACCUACAGAGGGAGCAUCGGCUAACUACGUGCCAGCAGCCGCGGUAAUACGUAGGAUGCGAGCGUUGUUCGGAAUCACUGGGCGUAAAGAGUACGUAGGCGGUUAUGUAAGUCUGACAUUAAAGCCCGAAGCUCAACUUCGGAAUCGCGUUGGAAACUGUAUGACUAGAGGACAAUAGAGGAAGCCGGAAUUCUCAGUGUAGCGGUGAAAUGCGUAGAUAUUGGGAAGAACACCAGUUGCGAAAGCGGGCUUCUGGGUUGUUACUGACGCUGAGGUACGAAGGCGUGGGUAGCGAACAGGAUUAGAUACCCUGGUAGUCCACGCGGUAAACGAUGGAUACUAGAUGUAGCCGGUCUCGACCCCGGCUGUGUCGUAGUUAACGCGAUAAGUAUCCCGCCUGGGGAGUACGACCGCAAGGUUGAAACUCAAAGGAAUUGACGGGGGCCCGCACAAGCGGUGGAGGAUGUGGUUUAAUUCGACGCAACGCGAAGGACCUUACCAAGGCUUGACAUCCAGCGAAUCUGUUCGAAAGAGUGGAGUGCCAGAAAUGGAGCGUUGAGACAGGUGGUGCAUGGCUGUCGUCAGCUCGUGUCGUGAGAUGUUGGGUUAAGUCCCGCAACGAGCGCAACCCUCGAUGCUAGUUGCCAUCAUUAAGUUGGGGACUCUAGCGUGACUGCCGGUGAUAAGCCGGAGGAAGGUGAGGACGACGUCAAGUCAUCAUGCCCCUUACGUCUUGGGCCACACACGUCCUACAAUGGCAUAGACAAAGGGCAGCGAGAUUGCAAAGUUAAGCGAAUCCCAUAAACUAUGUCCCAGUUCAGAUUGCAGGCUGCAACUCGCCUGCAUGAAGU